Molecule: non-coding RNA, 21 nt
Filed under: Arabidopsis thaliana (thale cress)
Lineage: Eukaryota; Viridiplantae; Streptophyta; Magnoliopsida; Brassicales; Brassicaceae
Source: RNAcentral
UCGGAUUUGGUUUUAUAUGUG